Molecule: long non-coding RNA, 333 nt
Filed under: Lotus japonicus
Lineage: Eukaryota; Viridiplantae; Streptophyta; Magnoliopsida; Fabales; Fabaceae
Description: long non-coding RNA (LJAP_LNC000435)
Source: RNAcentral
UCCUUCUCUGUGUUCCCCUGCCUCAGCUCCUUCACUUCUCUCUCCAGAUCCUCAAUCCUUGCCUCUCUCUCCUCUGCGACGUUCCUCAGCUCCGCCUCGCCGUCACGCAACCGCUCGAUCUCCGCCUUCAAGGUCUUGAUCUGGUCGUCCCUGUGUCGCGGAGAAUCUCGCGGCGCGUCGGUCUCCUUGUCGACAACCCAGAUCGCGAAAUCAGGGGUACCAUGGUAGCUGCAGUUGAGAUUGGCGUGACAAACAGGGCUCUGGAUCUUUGAGAUGGCUGGUGACGGAGGAGUAGACGAAGGUGGGGAACGUUUGGAGGAUUUCAGGGCGAAC